Molecule: ribosomal RNA, 259 nt
Filed under: Paenibacillus sp. ISO111_OTU9267
Lineage: Bacteria; Bacillati; Bacillota; Bacilli; Caryophanales; Paenibacillaceae
Description: partial 16S ribosomal RNA
Rfam family: Bacterial small subunit ribosomal RNA
Source: RNAcentral
ACGAACGCUGGGCGGCGUGCCUAAUACAUGCAAGUCGAGCGGAGCACUUCGGUGCUUAGCGGCGGACGGGUGAGUAACACGUAGGUAACCUGCCUAUAAGACUGGGAUAACUAUCGGAAACGAUAGCUAAGACCGGAUAACUGGUUUUCUCGCAUGAGAGAAUCAUGAAACACGGAGCAAUCUGUGGCUUAUAGAUGGGCUUGCGGCGCAUUAGCUAGUUGGUAGGGUAACGGCCUACCAAGGCGACGAUGGGUAGCCG